UCGCGGAGCUUGUUUUCCUGGCGAGGUCGGCCCUAGCGCCCUGUGUUUGGCCGGCCGCGCGAUCCUGACGCGCCGAAGUUCGGCCGCGCGCCUCUUACAAAUAGAAGUUAUGUGACUGAAGCGGCACAAACAGAUCCUUUUCGACGCUAUAGAGCAGGAAUUUUCAGUUUGGUAAUGGCGACCUCCAAGACAAGCCCACAUGGUACCCAGGUUCAGUCGUAGAAGAUGGUGUAGAAGCAAAUUGACACUUACUGACUUACCUUCUUCCAUCCGGUUUUGGGAAUUUAUCUAAUCUUAAUCUAUUUUAACUUCAAAUCUUCUUGAUGUAUUAUAUAGAAUUCAGUUACAUGCAUGUGUCAGUCUGAUUCUUUCUUUAUAACCACUUUAUUACAUCAUACAAAAGAACUGUAACUACAAAUCACCGUACUAGUAGUGAUGGUGUGGUACUUGGGUAGGACGUCUUCGCCGCAGAAAGAUGACCAUCAUCGUUCAUCACCAUGGUAGACACAAUAAUAAAACUAAAAGUUUAAUUGUUUAUUAGGAGGAAUAUUCUAUCUAAUCCCAGAUGUGGCUGAUAAAAGACUAGCAGAGAAAAAACUUGAAGAAUGUAGGUUGUAGUACCAAUAAGUAGAGCGAGAUACGCAUGUAUUGGAUGGUGUAGGACAAAUGUAAAGUUGACAAGUUAACUAGUUGUGCUGCCAAUUUAACUAAAUAAAAGUGUUAAGUUUGUUAAGAAAGCACAGAACAGUUAGUGCCACAGGAAAUGAUAAGUAGGCCUGUUUUUUUGUGCAAAACUUUGUGUACUUUCUAUGAUACAGGUGAUAAUUACUGAUUAUAAGAAUUAUCGGGAAGUAACACAUCCAAAUUCCAAGAAAUCUAACUAUGUACAUUUACAGAAAAUAGCCUGUGACCUUGAAAAAUGUUUACAUUGUCAUGAUAAAUUCAGUGUUUACAUUGUCUAUCUAUCAUUAUUUUAUCUCUUCUUCUUAUAGCACUAACAUCUGUCAUGUAUUGUGCAAGUGUGAACUUAUGCUAAUGAUGCAGUGUAACAUUGUGCCUCAUCAAAUAAUGCGAGAUGUUCAUGCAAUCUUACCUUUGACCUUGACCAAGUUGACCUUCUUAUUAAAGAAGUUACCAUUGUUGA
This is a long non-coding RNA of Branchiostoma floridae (Florida lancelet), 1144 nucleotides long. RefSeq lists it as uncharacterized. Lineage: Eukaryota; Metazoa; Chordata; Leptocardii; Amphioxiformes; Branchiostomatidae. The transcript has 2 exons. The record is from RefSeq and is a predicted model, not a curated record.